GUGGGGAAUAUUGGACAAUGGGCGAAAGCCUGAUCCAGCCAUGCCGCGUGUGUGAAGAAGGUCUUCGGAUUGUAAAGCACUUUAAGUUGGGAGGAAGGGCAGUAAGUUAAUACCUUGCUGUUUUGACGUUACCGACAGAAUAAGCACCGGCUAACUUCGUGCCAGCAGCCGCGGUAAUACGAAGGGUGCAAGCGUUAAUCGGAAUUACUGGGCGUAAAGCGCGCGUAGGUGGUUUUGUAAGUUGAAGGUGAAAUCACCGGGCUCAACCUGGGAACUGCCUCCAAAACUGCAUGACUAGAGUACGGUAGAGGGUAGUGGAAUUUCCUGUGUAGCGGUGAAAUGCGUAGAUAUAGGAAGGAACACCAGUGGCGAAGGCGACUACCUGGACUGAUACUGACACUGAGGUGCGAAAGCGUGGGGAGCAAACAGGAUUAGAUACCCGGGUAGUCC
RNAcentral lists this ribosomal RNA (450 nucleotides) under uncultured bacterium. RNAcentral describes it as "partial 16S ribosomal RNA". It matches the Rfam family "Bacterial small subunit ribosomal RNA", at positions 354 to 796 of the family's 1533-position model. The record is from RNAcentral.